CCUACGGGCGGCAGCAGUGAGGAAUAUUGGUCAAUGGGCGAGCCUGAACCAGCCAAGUAGCGUGAAGGAUGACUGCCCUACGGGUUGUAAACUUCUUUUAUAAAGGAAUAAAGUGAGGCACGUGUGCCUUUUUGUAUGUACUUUAUGAAUAAGGAUCGGCUAACUCCGUGCCAGCAGCCGCGGUAAUACGGAGGAUCCGAGCGUUAUCCGGAUUUAUUGGGUUUAAAGGGGGCGUAGAUGGGUUGUUAAGUCAGUUGUGAAAGUUUGCGGCUCAACCGUAAAAUUGCAAUUGAUACUGGCAGCCUUGAGUACAGUUGAGGUAGGCGGAAUUCGUGGUGUAGCGGUGAAAUGCUUAGAUAUCACGAAGAACUCCGAUUGCGAAGGCGACUAUCUGGCACAUAACUGACGCUGAGGAGCGAAAGCGUGGGUAGCAAACAGGAUUAGAUACCCCAGUAGUC
Molecule: ribosomal RNA, 458 nt
Filed under: uncultured bacterium
Lineage: Bacteria
Description: partial 16S ribosomal RNA
Rfam family: Bacterial small subunit ribosomal RNA
Source: RNAcentral